RNAcentral lists this ribosomal RNA (410 nucleotides) under Shigella sonnei. RNAcentral describes it as "bacterial SSU rRNA". It matches the Rfam family "Bacterial small subunit ribosomal RNA", at positions 534 to 944 of the family's 1533-position model. The record is from RNAcentral. Lineage: Bacteria; Pseudomonadati; Pseudomonadota; Gammaproteobacteria; Enterobacterales; Enterobacteriaceae.
CCUUGCGUCUAUCGACUGUACUGCGCGUAAGCGCACGCAGGCGGUUUGUUAAGUCAGAUGUGAAAUCCCCGGGCUCAACCUGGGAACUGCAUCUGAUACUGGCAAGCUUGAGUCUCGUAGAGGGGGGUAGAAUUCCAGGUGUAGCGGUGAAAUGCGUAGAGAUCUGGAGGAAUACCGGUGGCGAAGGCGGCCCCCUGGACGAAGACUGACGCUCAGGUGCGAAAGCGUGGGGAGCAAACAGGAUUAGAUACCCUGGUAGUCCACGCCGUAAACGAUGUCGACUUGGAGGUUGUGCCCUUGAGGCGUGGCUUCCGGAGCUAACGCGUUAAGUCGACCGCCUGGGGAGUACGGCCGCAAGGUUAAAACUCAAAUGAAUUGACGGGGGCCCGCACAAGCGGUGAAGCAUGUGG